UACGUAGGGUGCGAGCGUUAAUCGGAAUUACUGGGCGUAAAGCGUGCGCAGGCGGUUCGCUAAGUCAGACGUGAAAGCCCCGGGCUUAACCUGGGAAUGGCGUUUGAAACUGGCGGGCUCGAGUACGGCAGAGGGGGGUGGAAUUCCACGUGUAGCAGUGAAAUGCGUAGAUAUGUGGAGGAACACCGAUGGCGAAGGCAGCCCCCUGGGCCGAUACUGACGCUCAUGCACGAAAGCGUGGGGAGCAAACAGG
Molecule: ribosomal RNA, 253 nt
Filed under: uncultured prokaryote
Description: partial 16S ribosomal RNA
Rfam family: Bacterial small subunit ribosomal RNA
Source: RNAcentral